GGUAGUGUGAUGGCUCCAGCUUUGUUCUUUUUGCUUAGGACUGCUUUGGCUAUUUGUGCUCUUUUUUGGUUCCAUAUGAAUUUUAGAACAGUUUUUUCUAAUUCUGUAAAAAUGAUAUUGGUAGUUUGAUAGGAAUACCAUUGAAUCUGUAUAUGAGCCAAUUUCUUAUGAUAAAUAAAACCCAGACUAAUACAAGAACCAAAUCUACGUCCAAGGCAAGGCAACGUAGUAAAGCAAGAAAUCAUCAGAACCUGGCUUGGGACUGAAGUGGAAGAAGAAGGGCUGUUCAUUGGCAAGAAUCAAAUCUGAGUCUUAUAUGGGAGGCACAAGCUGAUGAGAGUAGGUUGGGAAGGUGAGAUUUGGUGAGAUAGCCUGAAGCAACUGCACUCAUCAAAGAGCUUUUAUGAAGAAUUGGCUUCUGUGCCUGUGGGAUAGUAGAGACCUUUAAAAGGCAG
RNAcentral lists this long non-coding RNA (455 nucleotides) under Homo sapiens (human). RNAcentral's name for it is "HSALNT0408237". Lineage: Eukaryota; Metazoa; Chordata; Mammalia; Primates; Hominidae. The record is from RNAcentral.